AUGCAACCUUCUUUGAAUAAAAGCAUCUACUGUAGGUCCAGCACUGGACUUUGUGGAAGGAGAUGGCCUCCAGUGGGAGAGUGGAAGGUGAACGAGAACACGCAGAUUCUAUCCUCAAGGGGCCUGUGGUUGGCUGAGGAGACAAGACCAAAUACUUUGGACAAUAAAAUAAUCACAUCUGAUGCUAAACUUGAUCUUUCUUGCCAGAAACUAUGUUUGACCCUCUCUUCAGGGCAGGGAAAAGAAACUAACUGGAUCACUUUCACAAAUCAAUAGGGCCACCUGGGUGGCACAGUCAGGUAUGCAUCUGACUCUUGAUUUGAGUUCAGGUCAUGAUCUGAAGGUUAAGAGAUUGAACCCUGCAUCAGGC
Molecule: long non-coding RNA, 370 nt
Filed under: Vulpes vulpes (red fox)
Lineage: Eukaryota; Metazoa; Chordata; Mammalia; Carnivora; Canidae
Description: lncRNA (ENSVVUG00000020057.1)
Source: RNAcentral